CCUACGGGAGGCAGCAGUAGGGAAUUUUGCGCAAUGGGCGAAAGCCUGACGCAGCAACGCCGCGUGAUUGAUUAAGCCCUUCGGGGUGUAAAGAUCUGUCAGUGGGGACGAAACUUGUCGGUACCCACAGAGGAAGCACCGGCUAACUCCGUGCCAGCAGCCGCGGUAAUACGGAGGGUGCAAGCGUGGUCCGGAAUCAGUGGGCGUAAAGAGUUCGUAGGUGGCAUGUUAAGUCUGGUGUUAAAUGCAGAGGCUCAACUUCUGUUCGGCACUGGAUACUGGUAGGCUUGAGUGCGGUAGAGGUAAAGAGAAUUCCUGGUGUAGCGGUGAAAUGCGUAGAUAUCAGGAGGAACAUCGGUGGCGAAGGCGGUUUACUGGGCCGUAAUUGACGCUGAGGUGCGAAAGCCGGGGUAGCAAAUGGGAUUAGAUACCCCAGUAGUC
RNAcentral lists this ribosomal RNA (441 nucleotides) under uncultured bacterium. RNAcentral describes it as "partial 16S ribosomal RNA". It matches the Rfam family "Bacterial small subunit ribosomal RNA", at positions 338 to 795 of the family's 1533-position model. The record is from RNAcentral.